This 406-nucleotide ribosomal RNA is filed under the name uncultured bacterium. Its description in RNAcentral is "partial 16S ribosomal RNA". It matches the Rfam family "Bacterial small subunit ribosomal RNA", at positions 30 to 526 of the family's 1533-position model. The record is from RNAcentral.
AUUGAACGCUGGCGGCAGGCCUAACACAUGCAAGUCGAACGAGUGGCGGACGGGUGAGUAAUGUAUGGGAAACUGCCUGAUGGAGGGGGAUAACUACUGGAAACGGUAGCUAAUACAGCAUACCAUAAGAUGUGCCCAGAUGGGAUUGGCUAGUUGGUGGGGUAACGGAUCACCAAGGCGACGAUCCCUAGCAGGUCUGAGAGGAUGACCGGCCACUCUGGAACUGAGACACGGUCCAGACUCUUACGGGAGGCAGGUGUGGGGAAUAUUGCACAAUGGGCGCAAGCCUGAUGCAGCCCUGCCCCGUGUAUGAAGAAGGCCUUCGGGUUGGAAAGUACUUUCAGCGGGGCGGCGUUACCCGCAGAAGAAGCACCGGCUAACUCCGUGCCAGCAGCCGCGGUAAUAC